This is a long non-coding RNA of Drosophila takahashii, 154 nucleotides long. RefSeq lists it as uncharacterized. NCBI's taxonomy places the organism in Eukaryota, Metazoa, Arthropoda, Insecta, Diptera, Drosophilidae. The record is from RefSeq and is a predicted model, not a curated record.
GAAGUGUGGCAGAACAAAAUUGAGAACGUCUUUGAGAUCCAGCUUCCGCAAACCACUUUUCGCACUUUUUAAAAGCGAAAGUAAGGGAAUAAAACUGCUCAAAUCUUUGGAAAGCCACGCUGAAGAGAUACAAUCAACUUUAAUUUGGCUUGCG